UACGUAUGGGGCAAGCGUUAUCCGGAUUUACUGGGUGUAAAGGGAGCGUAGGCGGCAGGGCAAGCCUGAUGUGAAAGCCCGGGGCUCAACCCCGGGACUGCAUUGGGAACUGCCCUGCUGGAGUGCCGGAGGGGCAGGCGGAAUUCCUAGUGUAGCGGUGAAAUGCGUAGAUAUUAGGAGGAACACCAGUGGCGAAGGCGGCCUGCUGGACGACAACUGACGGUGAGGCUCGAAAGCGUGGGGAGCAAACAGG
This 253-nucleotide ribosomal RNA is filed under the name uncultured bacterium. RNAcentral describes it as "partial 16S ribosomal RNA". It matches the Rfam family "Bacterial small subunit ribosomal RNA", at positions 524 to 776 of the family's 1533-position model. The record is from RNAcentral.